UCCUCAUUCUGAUGGACUUUUGUCUGUUCCUCAAGGGAAUCCUCCUGAUAGCCAUCAAUCUGUUGCAAGAAUAGAUGGCCAGAGCUCUGUGAUUCCAGGGUUGAACAGACAAGAUUAUGACCAGUUGAUGAAUUUAUUACACCAGACCAAGUUAGGGGAUUCCACUGCUCAAACUCCUCCUCCCUUAUAUGCUGCAAACUUUGCUGGUACUAUGUUAACUGAG
This 223-nucleotide long non-coding RNA is filed under the name Nicotiana benthamiana. RNAcentral describes it as "long non-coding RNA (NBEN_LNC037161)". The record is from RNAcentral. Lineage: Eukaryota; Viridiplantae; Streptophyta; Magnoliopsida; Solanales; Solanaceae.